Molecule: long non-coding RNA, 834 nt
Organism: Gallus gallus (chicken)
Lineage: Eukaryota; Metazoa; Chordata; Aves; Galliformes; Phasianidae
Source: Ensembl
UUUUAAAUAAUUGGAGGGGGUUCUUGAGCAUCCUCCAUGUGAUUUUCUGAUGGAUUAAUUUUAAACAGAGGGCCAGGGAACAUUUGGGACCACUAGUAUGAAUGUGUUUCUGUUGGUUAACAGCUAAUAAUUGGCCUAGUUUCUUGUCCCAUUUCUUCUUCAGGAAAACAUAAUUAAUUCAAAUGUGCAGGCCAGUGAUAUGUAUAGCAUGUGCUGCAAACUGUAAAAUAAGGGGAAACGUAAGGCAUAUAGAAGCAGCUAUAAAUCUGGAGUUUCAGUUAUGUAGCUGAGGUCAGAAUCUGAACCAUAAGUUGUUUUAUGAAUAUCUUUUAAUGGAUCAUAAGUUUCUGCAUUGAACAUAGACUGCUAUAGGAAGGGAUAUGGAAACCUGAGACCAUGAAAAUCAGCACAUUCACUGUAAGUCCAAAACUGAGCAUGUAGUGUGACCUACAGUGCAUUAAUAAGAAUGAUUAUAGCUUGUCUUAAUAUUUAGCUCACUUUAAAGUCCUUUGUGAAUGUAUUGCAUAUAUCUUUGUUUUUCUGCAUGGUGAUGCUAAGUUUCAGAUAAAAAAUGGAUUAUUAGAGUCCAGAAAUAAAAACUAGAGAGGUGGAAGAGUGGAUGCUUGUUCAUUUAAACAUUUAUCUCAUUGUCUGAGUAUAAUUUCAAAGUUUGAAUAGCACAUUUGGAAUUUGUAACUUCUACAAAUUGUGCAAAAUUUUUACUUUUCCUGAAUAGGAUUAGGUUUACUGACAGGAACUGUAACUGUGGCUUAUUCAGCAAAGGGCUUUAGCUUUUUACUUUUGAAUGUACUUACAGACUGCAUGAAAUUUCCC